Molecule: long non-coding RNA, 10875 nt
Filed under: Eucalyptus grandis
Lineage: Eukaryota; Viridiplantae; Streptophyta; Magnoliopsida; Myrtales; Myrtaceae
Description: long non-coding RNA (EGRA_LNC006992)
Source: RNAcentral
CCUAAAGCUAUUCGACUCAUCACUCCUCUCAAACCUCCAAGUCCCCAAAGCUCCUUCGAAGCACCAAGAAGAAGAAGAAGAAAGAAGAGAGAUGGCCAUUUCAAGGAGCGGCAAGAUGAACGGUGGAGGCAUGUCGCGGAGGAUCUCGAGCCGUCCCAUCCCGAAGAGAGGGCAAGUGAAGGUGGGGAUCGUGGUGGGAUUGGCUCAUUCCGUUGCCUCCAUCUUCUCCCUCCACCUCAGAAACAGAUCUGCUCAGUUUUCUCGGUGACAAAGCACGAGGGAGAGAGAUGGGCGUUGUGCUGCUGUUUUUCCUUAGUAGUGUUUUUGGAGAUCGUAAGAAGAACGGUUUGGUGAUGUAAUUAAGAGGCUUUUUCUCUUCAAUUUUGUACAAAUCGUUGUGGAAGGAAAUAUAAUUUUGCAGAUGAUUUAUGGAUUUCUCCUCCUCUAUUCCUCUGGUUGAGCAAAGUAGUUGACAUUCAUGUACAUCGAACGAUAUUUCAUCAACACAAUAGCCGAUAUGAUCUCAAGCUUUGCUCUAAUUAGGUUUUCUUCUUCUUGUUUCUCGGUCCGAGAAGGAGGGAUGGGUGUUGGGUUGCUGUUUUUCGUGGUUAGUGUUAACCACGUUGUUGGGAAACUUAGGAAGAACGGUUUGGUCUGGUGAGUAAGGUGUUUGCCAUUUUCAUUUCCUACAAAUUUUUGCAGAACGAAAUAGUUUUGAUUUAAGGCUCUCUCUGUGUUGAGAAACAGAGUAGUUGACGUUCAUGUACAUCUGACCAGAUUUCAUCAAACAAAGUACCCGAUAUGUUCUCAAGGUUCGCUCUAAUUAGGAAUCGUAUUGUGAUUCAAACUCGAAUAUUCUCAACCCCAAUACAUUGGUUGACCAAUCAGUCAAAUCCUUGAUCAAAGUUUUGAAUGUCAACUCCACAUAAUCCAAAUUCCACUUAAGUGCCUUUCUUGGGUCUAUUGUUUCUGGAGAGCUGAAUAAUAAUGGGAAAAUGGCACAUCUGACCAUGUCUUUACCCAAACUCAUUACAAUCUCAAGAGAAUGUUACGUAUAUUAAGAUCCGUAUAUGAAUUUGGUACGUAGAGUCAUGCGCCGGGUUAAGAGUGGACAUUUAAAUAAGUGGGCCAACUUCAAUACUCAAUUACAGGUUACCAUAUAUAUCAUAUCAAUUUUGUAAUCGAAAUUCAGUAGACAUCGCAUUUCUCAUGAACAAGAAGACAAUAUGACAAGCGCAAAACUAGGAGUGUGCAGGAGGGGCAUCAUCAUUGCUGGUACGAUUCUGCAAUUACGAAAUGCGUCCAUCUAGCAUUUUGAGAAUAUGCUAAUUAGGACCUUCAAUGCUAUGGCAAGGCUGUGAUGAUCGAUUUAUGUCAAUUUCGAACUUUUUAUUUUGUGGGGGCGAUAACUUUAUAAGUGAACGAUCAUGACGGAUAUGAUAGCUACUUGAUUCGCUAGAGAAAAGAGCUCAGGAUGAGGCAAAGGCGGCAUUCACAUUUGCAGGAACAUUCUUAAUUUGCAUAGGAGUGGAUUAAUGUUGAUGGUAGCUAGGUGAGUUAAGCCAGAGAGAGGUAGAGAGAAGGGAGACAAAAAAGAAACAUUUUAUACAUAGCCUACAGGGAAACUUUGCAGAUUUAGGUGCUAGUAUAGGGCUUAAAUAUUAAAAUUACACAAGAUUAGACACAAAUCGGAUUUUCCAGUAGACACAAUCCGACAGGAACUGCAUUCCACCUAACGUUUUUUUAUUUUUAUUUGAGCAAACACCUAAGGUUCAUUGAACAUGUUUUGCUUCUUGUUCAAUCAGCGUUCACAACCACUAAUAAUCUACAUAAUCGAGGUUAGUGUACGUUUAAUUUUUAAUUAGAUUAAUCCGUACCUUUCCUUCUUUUUAAUUGAUGAUUCUGCCCCUUACUUUAAUUUCUAAUUUGACAUCUUUAAAUUCUUUAAUUCAAUAUUAACUACAUUAAGUGGAGUGUCACAUGGAUCAUGUGAAAAGAAGAAUGAUGCUAGUUCUUCUCCCCCAGUUAUCAUAUUAGAAAGGAGGUUACAUUCCCAUAAUCUCAAUCAUUUAGAGAAUUUUUCUUAAUGUGUGUGUAUAUUAUAUGCCGUAUAAUGAAAAGCUACUCAAGACAGAAUAAGAUGUGGGGAAGACAUCUACGUAAGAUUUGGUCGAAGAAGUUGACUCAUAUUUGACUGAAUUAGGUAAGACAUGAGACAUGUUUCUAUCUUACGGACUGAAUUAGGUAAGACAUGAGACAUGUUUCUAUCUUACGUUUGAAUUAACAUUUUUCAGACAUCGUUCGCUUUGACCAAAGAACAAGAAAAAAAUAAAAAAAGUCAGUGUUCACAUUUGGUUUGCGCUCAGCCAACCAAGAAAUAAUAAAGAAUUCAAGGAAAAAAAUGGUGGGUGGAGAUCAUGGAGUAAAGGAUAUGGGUUGGACCGUCUCGGCGGACCCCAUGUCUAUCAUGACUUCCAUCAACCGGUCAAAACUUUUGAAACAAAAGCAAAGAAUCGUAUUUGAUAAAUUCUAAUCAAACAAAAGCAAAAAAGAGUAACCAAAAAAGAGAAAGUAAUAAAGCUACAAAGAGACAAGAAGAUGCCUGGCCCAUCACUCAUUACUUUAACUAAUAAAUUUAGAUUAAUUAUUGUAAUAUAAUAUGAAGCAUUCGGCAGAUUUAAAGGUGCUGCCAUCACUGAAUAGAGUUCAUAUACUCUUUAAAUUACAAAAGAUAGCGGAAGACACCUUCUAGAAAAAAAAAUACAUAUUAGUGAUUCGAAUUAGAUUUAACUCUCUUUCUCUAUGAAUGCUAGCUAUAUUUACUGAUAAGACAGCUUGAAAAAAGGUAUACCUAAAAUUUUAAAUCAUUUGUACGGUAUUUAAUUUAACGUCGCAAUUUUUCAAUCGCUCAUUUGAACUCUUCAGCUUUCAAAUUUCAUUAAUUUAAAUUACAUACAUACCACACAAUAUCGAUUUCAUUAUCAAAAUAAUGCCACAAAAAUGGAUUGAAAUGAAUGAUUUUGAGGUUCUAGUUUAUUUUCCCCUUGAUCUAUGGGUACCAACUUUUGAGUCUCAGAAAAUUUCAGGAAAAGAGACCAAAAACAGAAAAGAAUAGUAGAGUGGACACCACCAAGGAUGAGGCCAAAAAUUAAUAGCCACCUCCCAAUGAGUGCGUCACGGGGGGGUGCACCGGCCACGUCAUGAACAAACCCCCACGUGAACAAUGUGAACCUGAAUUAUUGCAAUAAUGCGUGCAGAAGUGGUGUCCUUUCACGAUCUCCACUUGCCUAACUUCAUGGACGAAAUCAUCCCCUUCCUCAUUACUAUUUCUCUUAAACUAAAAAAAAUCCAUAUUAUUAGGUUUACUCAAUCGCAUGGCAAUUAAAAUUAUGAAUACAAGUAUAAGUAUAUGAGAUUCCGAACUUUUUGCAUUGUGAUUAAUUCUAUUCAUAACGUCGGCUAUAUAGUGAAUUUGUUAAAUUUUGUUUGAUCAUGUUGCGAACUUACAAAGUGUUUCUUCCUUGAUUUAAAAAUGAAAAUUGACGUUGUUUGUACUGGUUCCCAUUUUCUAGAACAUGCCCAAUUUAUUAUUUUGUGUAAAAAACGUCAAAGUUUAAUAAAUUUACUUCAUUUCCUUACAAAAGCAUAUGUUGCAUAAAUGAUUAUGCUAUUUUUUAUUCAUGUCGAAAAUUACAAUUUGAUUUUUGUUAGAUGCGGGAGUCUUUUUUAUUUUCUAAAAGAAGCUUCAAAACAAGUUUAAUGCGGGAAUUAAAUCAAUUGAACCAAUUUAGACCAAUUCCCAGAUGAAUCGGUGAUUCCAACCUUGGAACCAGACGAAAUGGCCUAACACUGAUAGGUUCGUGGAGUUAGGAACAAAAUCGAUUCAAUGCCAGUUCUCUCUAGAAUUGAUCUAUAUAGCCGACCUCGACCCGAUUGGGUUUGGCUCAAUUCACUUCCGUUCCCAAAUCAAACCAAACUUGAUGUCCACCCCCAUUAACUUUUACCGUCGCUUUCUUAAGAAGACAAAAUCUAGAGUGUAUUCACCUCACAAUUGUAGCAGCAAGGGAAAUGAAAUGUUCAAUGUUACAAUGUUAGUGGCAAGUGGUGUGCUAUUUUUGAUCCAACAAUCUCACCUUUAAAUCAUCUUAAACAUGGUGCGACAUUUCCGUACUUGGUAACAUGGACAAUUUUGGAUUUAUUUAGGUAAUACUUUUUGUGUAUUAUUAAUGAUUUGUUUAGACAAUAUGAGAGUUGGCGGGCGAGGUCAAAAACGUCAAAUAGACGAGCUCAAGGGCAAGGGGCCUCACUUCAAUUAUAAUGAAUUUGAAGGGCAUAUUGGAAAAAGUUGUUCUCUAUAUAAUACAACCGAUCACCGGAAAGCAAAGGCAAGCGUUCGCUAAAGCUUUCCAAUACAUCCCUCCUCUCAAACCUCAAACCUCAAACCCAAAAGCUUCUUCGAAGAUCUCAUUUCAUCUUCAGCGGAACGAUUUGAAGCACCGAGAAGAAGAAGAAGAAGAAGCAGAGAGAUGGCGAUCUCAAGGAGUGGCGAGAUGAACGGCGUAGGCGUUUCGGGGAGGAUUUCGAGCCGUCCGAUCCCGAAGAGAGGGCAAGUGAAGGUGGGGAUCGUGGUGGGGUUGGCUCAUUCUGUCGCUUCCAUCUUCUCUCUCAGUCUCCGGAAUAGGCGUGCUCAGUUUUCUUAGGGACCAACCACUUUCCAUAAGUUCUCUUCUUCUAGAGAGAGAGGGAGAGAGAUGGGAGUUGUGUUGCUGUUUUUCCAUGGUAGUGUUCUUGGGAAUCUCUGGAAGGACGGUUUUGUCUUGUAAUUAAGAGGGUUUUCUUUUUGAGUUUGUACAAAUUUUUGCAGAACGAAAUAUAAUUUUGCAGAUGAUUUGCGGUUCUCUCUUUCUCUCUCGUUGAGCAACAAAGUAGUUAAUAUUCAUUUACAUCGGCUGAUGUGAUCUCAAGCUUGCUCUGAUUAGGAGUUGUGUUGUGAUUCAAACUCGAAUCUCCUCGACUCCGGUACAUCGGACUCGACGAAAGCAAAGCAGAGGAGUGACGGUGAUGGUAGCUAGGGCAGUUUAACCGGAGAAACGUAGGUAUGUGUUUAAGAAUGAAAGCAAGCAAUUCUGGCAUGAAUCCUGAGCAUGAACAACUUGCUCAGAAGGAAUGCGAAGAGGUAGUCCGACGAGGACUAAUUGAAUCGACAGAUUCUUAGUGGGUAUGCAAAACCUUUUACAUCAACAAGCAAGUUGAGCAAACCAGAUGUUCUCAACUACCAGCCUUUGAAUCAAUUUCUCCAUGAUGACAAGUUACUUUUGCCAAACAAAAAGACCUUAUCAUCCGGCCUUUCUGAUGCCAAGAUAUACUCCGACUUUUUGGGCAAGAUUUUGGCAAUCCUUUCAUUUGGUCUCGAGACUGCACCAUCAUUGUUCCAGAAAGCGAUAUGCAAGAGGAGUAAUAUGACUUGCGCACAGCUGGAAUUUAUCUCUACAAUCGGGCCGCUCUAGUCCAAAAGCUUGUGAUGAUUCUACCUUAGAUGAUGGAGAUCGUGCCCCAAACCUUCAAUCUCAUCAUGAACGUUUCAAUCAGUGUCCUGUGGGACAAGGUUCAUUGCAUUUGCUCAAGGCGGCCGAGAAACUUUUAUUAUUGUCCAUUCAUCUUAUAAGAGUAUCUUGUGAAUGCACGUGUGAUCGUGUCUUUAUAAUACGAUGUGGUCGUGUCUUUAUAAUACGAUGUGUUAUUGUCUUGAAAGCGCAUCUUUUAGAUUGGCUCCACCUAUAUAAGAGCGACUUCUCCUGAAAGUUGAAUGAGACCAGAGUUUGAGAAAAUCUCUAGUUCAUAUACACUCUUUAUGGCUUUUUGAACACUUUUUUUUCUCUUCAUCAAAUUCUAAUGUCAUCAAAAGCUUAAGAUUAUUCUCCACUUGUUUCUUUAUGGAUCAAAGAGCUUGAGACCUGAGAUAUUUAUGAUAUAAAUUAAUAGUUUAUGGAGACUAAGAUGCAGUCCCAUAUAAGCCCAAGAAAAGGGCCGUGUGUGUUGCGUGAUAGUGUAUCUGCCUCUAAAUGCUUUAAGUUUAUACCAUAGACUCCUCAUUGGUAAUAUGAUUUUGUCGGGGGCUGUCGAUUACAAACAAUUGAAGGGAAUUAUGAUGAAAACAUUGUCUUUGGGGAAACUCUGUAGAUUCAUGUGCAAUUGUAGGGCUUAAAUUUUAAAAUUAAACAUGAUUUGAUCCAAAUCUUAUUCCCACCAGGCAUAAUCCGGCACAAACUGCAAAGAUGUCCCCAGCAUAUACAGUUCAACAAACAAUUCCAGCUAAGAUUCAUUGAACAUGUUUUCCUUCUUGUUCAAUCAGUGUUUAGAACCACCAAUAAUUUAUAUGAUCUGGGUUAGAGCAUGUCUAAUUUCUAAUUAGAUUAAUCCCUUCCUGUCCUCCCUGACUAUAAUUGAUGAUUCUGCCCUUUACUUUUAGCAAUAAAGAAAGAGAACGGUAACAACUUUGAGAUCUUCAAGUUCUUUGAUUAAAUCUCUCUCUCUCUCUCUCUCUCUCUCUCUCUCCCCAUUAUUCAUGGAGAUGUAAGGAAAACUGCAUCUCUGUAUAAAUUAAUAUCUACAAAUUUAAGUGAAGUAUCACAUGGGUCAUGUGAAAAGAAAAAUGAUGCCGAUUCUUUUCCAACAAUUAGCAUAAUUAGAUUGGAGGUCACGUUUACAUGAUCUCAAACAAUUUGAAAUUUUUUUAAUGUCCCUAUUGCACAUCAAUUUAUAUAAUUCCUUAUUGGUCGAGGAAUUUGCCUAAUUGGACUUGUUAUAAUUAAAUUAGCUACAUAAUAAUAAUAGAAACCUACUUAGGACAGAAUAAGAGAUAAGACGUGUUACAAUCUUACCCCCUUUUUUUUCGGUCGAAUGUUGCAAUCUUACAUUGGAAUUGACAUUUUCAAAGACAAUGUUCACUUUGACCAAAGAAAAGAAAUUAAAAAAGAAGAAGUCAGUGUUCACAUUUGGUUUGGCUUUUAGCCAACCCAAAAAAAUUCUUUACGAGUUUCCUCAAUGUGAAACCGAAUUUAAAUAAUAAAGAAUUAUGAAAAAAUAUUGGGGGGUGAGAUUUUGGAGUAGAGGGCAUAGUUGGUCCGUCUUGGGGACCCCAUAUCGAUCACGACUUCUGUCAGCCGGUCAAAGACUUUCAAAACAAAAACCCACGUGUUCUUGAAGCACGUCACAGGACAACAGAAGCAUUUCUGAUUGCUUUUAAUCCAACAAAAGUAAAAGCAAAUGAAUAAAUGAAUAAAAGUAAUAAAGCUACUAAGAGAAAGUGAUUCCUGGUCCAUCACCCAAUCUACUUCACCUAAUAAAUUCACAUCAUUUUAUUCACAAAAACUAGCUGUAUUCGGCAGAUUUGAAAGUGCAGCCAUCGCAGAAUAAUGUUUAUGCUUCUUAAACUUAAAAAAAAGAAAGAAACAUUAUUUAUAAGUGUUUUUAUUCAUUAAAGUUGUACUAUCCUCUAUUCUGGUGACGAUAAUAUCACAAAAAACUCUUACUUAUAAAAGUUAAAAAUGUCGUUUGCAGCUCAAACAAUAAGGUAAAUCAUGCAGAGGAAGAUAACAAAUUAUUUUGCUUAAAACGUAAGUCCUCAAUGAACGAAGUAAUCGACAAAUUAUAUGACUUAUUUGUAGUACAAGAUGACGAUUCAACAAGGAAAAAGAAAUGUUAAACUUACAUUGCCAACGCCAAAGUGUGCAAUUUUUAAUCCAACCAUCUCACCUUUCUAUCAUCUUAAUCAUCAGGUGACAUUUACGUAAUUGGUUACGUAAGCAAUUCUAGGAUUUAUUGAGUAAGCGAUUUGUUUAUACAAUGUGGGAAUUGGUGGGCGAGGUCAAACAUCAAAAUAGACGAGUUCAAAAGCAAAGGGCCUCCCUUCAAUUAUAAUAAAUUUGAAGGGCAUAUUGGAAAAAGUUCCGUCUCUAUAUAAGAACCCGUCACCACGAAGGCCGAGUGUUAACUAAAGCAUUUCAACACAUUACUCCUCUCGAACUCUAGAUCUAAAAGCUCUNNNNNNNNNNNNNNNNNNNNNNNNNNNNNNNNNNNNNNNNNNNNNNNNNNNNNNNNNNNNNNNNNNNNNNNNNNNNNNNNNNNNNNNNNNNNNNNNNNNNAGAGAGAGAAAGGAAGAGCGAUGGCGAUUUCAAGGAGUGGCGAGAUGAACGGUGGAGGCAUGUCGCGGAGAUUUUUGAGCCGUCCGAUACCCAGGAGAGGGCAAGUGAAGGUGGGGAUUGUGGUGGGGUUGGCUCAUUCUUUUGUCUCCAUCUUCUCUCUCCAUCUCAGAAACAGAUCUGCUCAGUUUUCUCGGUGACCAAGCACUCGCCAUAAGUUUUCUUCUUCUUCUAGAGAGAGAGAGAGAGAAAAAUGGGUUUUGUAUUGCUGUUUUUCCUGGUUUUUGUUUUUUGCAGAUCUUAGGAAGAACGGUCUUGUAAUUAAGAGUUUUUUCUUUUUACUUUUGUACAAAUUUUUGCAGAUCGAGAUAUAAUUCUGCAGAUGAUUUACGGUUCUCUCUCUUUUGAGCCACAAAGUAGUUAAAAAUUCAUUGAUCAACGAAGUAGCCGAUAUGAUCUCAGGCUUUGCUGUAAUUAGGAGUUGUGUUAUGAUUCAAACUCAGAUUUUCUCAACUCCAGUACAUUAAUUGACCAUCAAGUGAAGCCCAUGAAAAAUUUUGAGUCUGUAAAAAUAUUGAGGCUUUACAUACCACAUCCACACAGUAACGAUUUCAUUAUCAAGAUAAUGCCACGGAAAUGGAUUGAAAUGAAUGAUUUUGAGGGUCUAGUUUAUUUUCCCCUUGAUCUAUGGGUACCAACUUUUGAGUCUGUAAAAAUUUCAGGAAAAGAGACCAAAAACAGAAAAGAAAAGUAGAGUGGACACCACCAAGGAUGAGGCCAAAAAUUAAUAGCCACCUCCCAAUGAGUGCGUCACGGGGGGGUGCACCGGCCACGCCAUGAACAAACCCCCGCGUGAACAAUAUGAACCUGAAUUAUUGCAAUAAUGCGUGCAGAAGUGGUGUCCUUUCACGAUCUCCACUUGCCUAACUUCAUGGGACGAAAUCGCCCCCUUCCUCAUUACUAUUUCUUUUAAACUAAAAAAAGUCCAUAUUAUUAGGUUUACUCAAUCGCAUGGCAAUUAAAAAUAUAAAUACUAGUAUAAGUAUAUGAGAUUUCGCACUUUUUGCAUUGUGAUUAAUUCUAUUCAUAAUGUUGUCUAUACAGUGAAUUCGUUAAAUUUUGUUUGAUCAUGCUGUGAACUUACAAGGUGUUUCUUCCUUGAUUUGGAAAUGGAAAUUGACCUUGUUUGUAUGGGUUCCCAUUUUCGAGAACAUGCCCAAUUUAUUAUUUUGUGUAAAAAACAUAAAAGUUUAAUAAGUUUACUUCAUUUCCUUACAAAAGCAUAUGUUGCAUAAAUGAUUAUGUUAUUUUUUAUUCAUGUCGAAAAUUAUGGGUUGAUUUUUGUUGGAUGUGAGAGUCUUCUUUAUUUUCUAAAAGAAGCUUCAAAACAAGUUUGAUGAGGGAAUUAAAUCAAUUGAACCAGUUUAGAUCGAUUCUCAAUUGAAUCUAUGAUUCCAACCUUGAAACCGGACGAAACAGCCUAAUAUUGACAGGUUUGUGGAGUCGGGAACAAAAUCGAUUCAAUGCCGGUUCUCUCUAGAAUCGGUCUAUAUAGCCGACCUUGAUCUAGUUGGGUUUAGUUCAAUUCACUUCCAUUCCCAAAUCAAACCAAACUUGAUGUCCACCCCCACUAACUUUUACCGUCGCUUUCUCAAGAAGACAAAAUCUAUAGUAUAUUCACCUCAUAAUUGUAGCAGCAAGGGAAAUGAAAUGUUCAACGUUACAUUGCUAGGGCCAAGUGGUGUGCUAUUUUUGAUCCAACAGUCUCACCUUUAAAUCAUCUUAAUCAUGGUGCGACGUUUCCGUACUUGGUAACAUGGACAAUUUUGGAUUUAUUUAGGUAAUACUUUUUGUGUAUCAUUAAUGAUUUGUUUAGACAACAUGAGAGUUGGUGGGCGAGGUCAAAAACGUAAUAGACGAGCUCAAAUGCAAGGGGCCUCACUUCAAUUAUAAUGAAUUUGAAGGGCAUAUUGGAAAAAGUCGUUCUCUAUAUAAUGCAGCCGAUCACCGGAAAGCAAAGGCAAGCGUUCGCCAAAGCUUUCCAACACAUCCCUCCUCUCAAGCCUCAAACCUCAAACCCAAAAGCUUCUUCGAAGAUUCCAUUUCAUCUUCAGCAGAACGAUUUGAAGAACCAAGAAGAAGAAGCAGAGAGAUAGCUAUCUCAAGGAGUGGCGAGAUGAACGGCGUAGGCGUUUCGGGGAGGAUUUCGAGCCGUCCGAUCCCGAAGAGAGGGCAAGUGAAGGUGGGGAUCGUGGUGGGGUUGGCUCAUUCUCUCGCUUCCAUCUUCUCUCUCAGUCUCCGGAAUAGGCGUGCUCAGUUUCCUUAGUGACCAGCCACUUUCCAUAAGUUCUCUUCUUCUAGAGAGAGAGGGAGAGAGAUGGGUUUUGUGUUGCUGUUUUUCCUUGGUAGUAUUCUUGGGAAUCUCAGGAAGGACUGUUUUGUCUUGUAAUUAAGAGGUUUUUCUUUUUGAGUUUGUACAAAUUUUUGCAGAACGAAAUAUAAUUUUGCAGAUGAUUUACGGUUCUCUCUCUCUCUCGUUGAGCAACAAUGUAGUUAAUAUUCAUUUACAUCGGCUGAUGUGAUCUCAAGCUUGUGAUCUCAAGCUUGCUCUGAUUAGGAGUUGUGUUGUGAUUCAAACUCGAAUCUCCUCCACUCCAGUACAUCGGACUCGACGAAAGUAAAGCAGAGGAGUGAUGGCGAUGGUAGAUAGGGGAGUUUAAUCGGAGAAAAGUAG